Molecule: ribosomal RNA, 393 nt
Filed under: uncultured bacterium
Lineage: Bacteria
Description: partial 16S ribosomal RNA
Rfam family: Bacterial small subunit ribosomal RNA
Source: RNAcentral
AUACGGAGGACGCGAGCGUUAUCCGGAUUCAUUGGGUUUAAAGGGUGCGCAGGCGGCCGUGCAAGUCAGCGGUGAAAGCCCGGGGCUCAACCCCGGAAGUGCCGUUGAUACUGCAUGGCUGGAAUGCGGUCGAGGCGGGCGGAACGUGGCGUGUAGCGGUGGAAGGCGUAGAAAUGCCACAGAACGCCGAUGGCGGAGGCAGCCCGCCAGGCCUGCAUUGACGCUCGGGCACGAAAGCGUGGGGAUCGAACAGGAUUAGAUACCCUGGUAGUCCACGCCGUAAACGAUGAUUACUCGCUGUUUGCGAUACACAGCAAGCGGCUUAGCGAAAGCGUUAAGUAAUCCACCUGGGGAGUACGUUCGCAAGAAUGAAACUCAAAGGAAUUGACGGGG